GGCUGGUCCAAUGGUAGUGGAUAAUCAGAAUUUAUUAAUAUUAGUGUUACUAAAGUUGGUAUUCAGCCCCCCACUGCUAAAUUUGACUGGCUUAAA
Molecule: Y RNA, 96 nt
Filed under: Microcebus murinus (gray mouse lemur)
Lineage: Eukaryota; Metazoa; Chordata; Mammalia; Primates; Cheirogaleidae
Description: Y RNA (ENSMICG00000047752.1)
Rfam family: Y RNA
About the family: Y RNAs are components of the Ro ribonucleoprotein particle (Ro RNP), in association with Ro60 and La proteins.
Source: Rfam by way of RNAcentral